This 269-nucleotide long non-coding RNA is filed under the name Brassica rapa (field mustard). Its description in RNAcentral is "long non-coding RNA (BRAP_LNC006516)". Lineage: Eukaryota; Viridiplantae; Streptophyta; Magnoliopsida; Brassicales; Brassicaceae. The record is from RNAcentral.
AAACUAGCUGAGAGAGGAUGUAUUGAUCUUGGUAUUCCGAUUAAUUCAACUGUGGAGAUGGCAAUUCAGUCGUAGAGGUCAAAGGCACAGAGUAAGUUCUCUGGUUCAAAUAGAUAAGAUAAUUCUUGAUAUGAGAACAAGAGGUCUAACGCAAUCAGAAGAUAAAUGGUGCUGGAAGGUACAAGCGGGAUUCAGCACAACAGAAACCUGGAACCUAACGAGAAUGGUAUUUCCCAAGGUUCCAUGGUGGGUAGGUGUAUGGUUUCAAG